This 408-nucleotide ribosomal RNA is filed under the name uncultured bacterium. RNAcentral describes it as "bacterial SSU rRNA". It matches the Rfam family "Bacterial small subunit ribosomal RNA", at positions 505 to 916 of the family's 1533-position model. The record is from RNAcentral.
GUGCCAGCCGCCGCGGUAACACGUAGGGGGCGAGCGUUGUCCGGAAUUACUGGGUGUAAAGGGUGCGUAGGCGGCCUUGCAAGUCAGAUGUGAAAGAUCACGGCUUAACUGUGGUAAGCAUUUGAAACUGUAAGGCUUGAGUGCAGGAGAGGAGAGUGGAAUUCCUAGUGUAGCGGUGAAAUGCGUAGAUAUUAGGAAGAAUAUCAGUGGCGAAGGCGGCUCUCUGGACUGCAACUGACGCUGAGGCACGAAAGCGUGGGGAGCAAACAGGAUUAGAUACCCUGGUAGUCCACGCUGUAAACGAUGAGUGCUAGGUGUCGGGGGUCAUACCUCGGUGCCGCAGUUAACGCAUUAAGCACUCCACCUGGGGAGUACGGCCGCAAGGCUGAAACUUAAAUGAAUUGGCGG